Molecule: ribosomal RNA, 301 nt
Filed under: uncultured bacterium
Lineage: Bacteria
Description: partial 16S ribosomal RNA
Rfam family: Bacterial small subunit ribosomal RNA
Source: RNAcentral
CAGUCGCCGCGGUAAUACGAAGGGGGCUAGCGUUGUUCGGAAUUACUGGGCGUAAAGGGCGCGUAGGCGGCCAUUCAAGUUAGAUGUGAAAGCCCUGGGCUCAACCUAGGAAUUGCAUUUGAUACUGUUUGGCUUGAGUUCGGGAGAGGUGAGUGGAAUUCCCAGUGUAGGGGUGAAAUUCGUAGAUAUUGGGAAGAACACCAGUGGCGAAGGCGGCUCACUGGACCGACACUGACGCUGAGGCGCGAAAGCGUGGGGAGCAAACAGGAUUAGAGACCCCCUAGUCCCUGUCUCUUAUACA